Molecule: unclassified non-coding RNA, 314 nt
Filed under: uncultured Apiotrichum
Lineage: Eukaryota; Fungi; Basidiomycota; Tremellomycetes; Trichosporonales; Trichosporonaceae
Description: sequence contains ITS1
Rfam family: 5.8S ribosomal RNA (bases 1-105)
Source: RNAcentral
GAAAUGCGAUAAGUAAUGUGAAUUGCAGAAUUCAGUGAAUCAUCGAAUCUUUGAACGCAACUUGCGCUCUCUGGUAUUCCGGAGAGCAUGCCUGUUUGAGUGUCAUGAAAUCUCAACCAUUAGGGUUUCUUAAUGGCUUGGAUCUGGACGUGUGGCAGUUUACUGCCUCGUCUUAAAAGAGUUAGCAAGUUAACUAUUGCUGUCUGGCGUAAUAAGUUUCGCUGGGUAUGCAUUGUGAAGCGUGCUUCUAAUCGUCUUCGGACAAUUACUUUGACUCUGGCCUCAAAUCAGGUAGGACUACCCGCUGAACUUAA